RNAcentral lists this ribosomal RNA (253 nucleotides) under uncultured prokaryote. RNAcentral's name for it is "partial 16S ribosomal RNA". It matches the Rfam family "Bacterial small subunit ribosomal RNA", at positions 525 to 777 of the family's 1533-position model. The record is from RNAcentral.
ACGGAGGGGGCUAGCGUUGUUCGGAAUUACUGGGCGUAAAGCGCACGUAGGCGGCUUUGCAAGUUAGAGGUGAAAGCCCGGGGCUCAACUCCGGAACUGCCUUUAAGACUGCAUCGCUAGAAUUGCGGAGAGGUGAGUGGAAUUCCGAGUGUAGAGGUGAAAUUCGUAGAUAUUCGGAAGAACACCAGUGGCGAAGGCGACUCACUGGCCCGAUACUGACGCUGAGGUGCGAAAGCGUGGGGAGCAAACAGGA